CACGUAGGGGGCGAGCGUUGUCCGGAUUCAUUGGGCGUAAAGGGCGCGCAGGCGGCCCGGAAAGUCGGAUGUGAAAACUCGAGGCUCAACCUCGAGCAUGCACCCGAUACUGCCGGGCUUGAGGCAGGUAGGGGAGAUCGGAAUUCCUGGUGUAGCGGUGAAAUGCGCAGAUAUCAGGAGGAACACCGGUGGCGAAGGCGGAUCUCUGGGCCUGUCCUGACGCUGAGGCGCGAAAGCUAGGGGAGCGAACAGG
RNAcentral lists this ribosomal RNA (253 nucleotides) under uncultured bacterium. RNAcentral's name for it is "partial 16S ribosomal RNA". It matches the Rfam family "Bacterial small subunit ribosomal RNA", at positions 524 to 776 of the family's 1533-position model. The record is from RNAcentral.